AAUAGAUACCCAGGUAGUCCACGCCGUAAACGAUGAGUGCUAAGUGUUAGAGGGUUUCCGCCCUUUAGUGCUGCAGCUAACGCAUUAAGCACUCCGCCUGGGGAGUACGGCCGCAAGGCUGAAACUCAAAGGAAUUGACGGGGGCCCGCACAAGCGGUGGAGCAUGUGGUUUAAUUCGAAGCAACGCGAAGAACCUUACCAGGUCUUGACAUCCUCUGACAACCCUAGAGAUAGGGCUUUCCCCUUCGGGGGACAGAGUGACAGGUGGUGCAUGGUUGUCGUCAGCUCGUGUCGUGAGAUGUUGGGUUAAGUCCCGCAACGAGCGCAACCCUUGAUCUUAGUUGCCAGCAUUCAGUUGGGCACUCUAAGGUGACUGCCGGUGACAAACCGGAGGAAGGUGGGGAUGACGUCAAAUCAUCAUGCCCCUUAUGACCUGGGCUACACACGUGCUACAAUGGAUGGUACAAAGGGCUGCAAACCUGCGAAGGUAAGCGAAUCCCAUAAAGCCAUUCUCAGUUCGGAUUGCG
This 527-nucleotide ribosomal RNA is filed under the name uncultured bacterium. RNAcentral describes it as "bacterial SSU rRNA". It matches the Rfam family "Bacterial small subunit ribosomal RNA", at positions 777 to 1302 of the family's 1533-position model. The record is from RNAcentral.